GAAGGGGGGCUAGCGUUGCUCGGGAAUCACUGGGCGUAAAGGGUGCGUAGGCGGGUCUUUAAGUCAGGGGGUGAAAUCCUGGGAGCUCAACUCCAGAACUGCCUUUGAUACUGAAGAUCUUGAGUUCGGGAGAGGUGAGUGGAACUGCGAGUGUAGAGGUGAAAUUCGUAGAUAUUCGCAAGAACACCAGUGGCGAAGGCGGCUCACUGGCCCGAUACUGACGCUGAGGCACGAAAGCGUGGGGAGCAAACAGGACUAGAUACCCUGGUAGUCCACGCCGUAAACGAUGAAUGCCAGCCGUUAGUGGGUUUACUCACUAGUGGCGCAGCUAACGCUUUAAGCAUUCCGCCUGGGGAGUACGGUCGCAAGAUUA
This 373-nucleotide ribosomal RNA is filed under the name uncultured organism. Its description in RNAcentral is "partial 16S ribosomal RNA". It matches the Rfam family "Bacterial small subunit ribosomal RNA", at positions 526 to 896 of the family's 1533-position model. The record is from RNAcentral.